This 428-nucleotide ribosomal RNA is filed under the name uncultured prokaryote. RNAcentral's name for it is "bacterial SSU rRNA". It matches the Rfam family "Bacterial small subunit ribosomal RNA", at positions 355 to 774 of the family's 1533-position model. The record is from RNAcentral.
UGAGGAAUUUUGCGCAAUGGGAGUAAUCCUGACGCAGCAACGCCGCGUGGGUGAUGAAGGCCUUCGGGUCGUAAAGCCCUGUCAGGUGGGAAGAAUGUCCCGGGACUGAACAGGUUCCGGGAGUGACGGUACCACCAGAGGAAGCACCGGCUAACUCCGUGCCAGCAGCCGCGGUAAUACGAGUGGUGCAAGCGUUAUUCGGAAUAAUUGGGCGUACAGGGUGUGUAGGCGGCAUGUUAAGUCUGUUGUUAAAUUCUCCAGCCUAACUGGAGACAGGCAGCGGAAACUGGCGUGCUAGAGGGUGGAAGAGAGAAGUGGAAUUCUCGGUGUAGCGGUAAAAUGCGUAGAUAUCGAGAGGAACACCGAUGGCGAAGGCGGUUCUCUAGGCUAGUCCUGACACUGAGACACGAAAGCUAGGGGAGCAAACG